Molecule: ribosomal RNA, 492 nt
Filed under: uncultured bacterium
Lineage: Bacteria
Description: bacterial SSU rRNA
Rfam family: Bacterial small subunit ribosomal RNA
Source: RNAcentral
GACGAACGCUGGCGGCGUGCUUAAAACAUGCAAGUCGAACGGACUUCUCAUGAAGCUUGCGAUUGAGAAGUUAGUGGCGGACGGGUGAGUAACGCGUGGGCAACCUGCCCCUGAGCCCGGGAUAACAGUUCGAAAGGACUGCUAAGACCGGAUAUACUUGCGGGGAAGCAUUUCACUGCAAGGAAAGGGAACGCUCAGGGAUGGGCCCGCGUCCCAUUAGCUAGUUGGUGAGGUAACGGCCCACCAAGGCGACGAUGGGUAGCCGGCCUGAGAGGGUGAACGGCCACACUGGGACUGAGACACGGCCCAGACUCCUACGGGAGGCAGCAGUUGGGAAUCUUCGGCAAUGGGCGCAAGCCUGACCGAGCAACGCCGCGUGAGUGAUGAAGGUUUUCGGAUUGUAAAGCUCUGUCUUCCGGGACGAUAAUGACGGUACCGGAGGAGGAAGCCACGGCUAACUACGUGCCAGCAGCCGCGGUAAGCAUACUCGUA